This 85-nucleotide transfer RNA is filed under the name Tistrella bauzanensis. Its description in RNAcentral is "tRNA-Leu". It matches the Rfam family "tRNA". Rfam says of the family: Transfer RNA (tRNA) molecules are approximately 80 nucleotides in length. Their secondary structure includes four short double-helical elements and three loops (D, anti-codon, and T loops). The record is from RNAcentral. Lineage: Bacteria; Pseudomonadati; Pseudomonadota; Alphaproteobacteria; Geminicoccales; Geminicoccaceae.
GCGGACGUGGCGGAAUUGGCAGACGCGCGAGAUUUAGGUUCUCGUAUCGAGAGAUGUGUGGGUUCAAGUCCCACCGUCCGCACCA